RNAcentral lists this ribosomal RNA (2583 nucleotides) under Pseudomonas fluorescens. RNAcentral's name for it is "23S ribosomal RNA (partial)". It matches the Rfam family "Bacterial large subunit ribosomal RNA", at positions 3 to 2623 of the family's 2925-position model. The record is from RNAcentral. Lineage: Bacteria; Pseudomonadati; Pseudomonadota; Gammaproteobacteria; Pseudomonadales; Pseudomonadaceae.
UCAAGUGAAGAAGCGCAUACGGUGGAUGCCUUGGCAGUCAGAGGCGAUGAAAGACGUGGUAGCCUGCGAAAAGCUUCGGGGAGUCGGCAAACAGACUUUGAUCCGGAGAUGUCUGAAUGGGGGAACCCACCUAACAUAAGUUAGGUAUCUUACGCUGAAUACAUAGGCGUAAGAAGCGAACCAGGGGAACUGAAACAUCUAAGUACCCUGAGGAAAAGAAAUCAACCGAGAUUCCCUUAGUAGUGGCGAGCGAACGGGGACUAGCCCUUAAGUGGCUUUGAGAUUAGCGGAACGCUCUGGAAAGUGCGGCCAUAGUGGGUGAUAGCCCUGUACGCGAAAAUCUCUUAGUCAUGAAAUCGAGUAGGACGGGGCACGAGAAACCUUGUCUGAAUAUGGGGGGACCAUCCUCCAAGGCUAAAUACUACUGACUGACCGAUAGUGAACUAGUACCGUGAGGGAAAGGCGAAAAGAACCCCGGAGAGGGGAGUGAAAUAGAUCCUGAAACCGUAUGCGUACAAGCAGUGGGAGCCCACUUUGUUGGGUGACUGCGUACCUUUUGUAUAAUGGGUCAGCGACUUAUUUUCAGUGGCGAGCUUAACCGAAUAGGGGAGGCGUAGCGAAAGCGAGUCUUAAUAGGGCGUCUAGUCGCUGGGAAUAGACCCGAAACCGGGCGAUCUAUCCAUGGGCAGGUUGAAGGUUGGGUAACACUAACUGGAGGACCGAACCGACUACCGUUGAAAAGUUAGCGGAUGACCUGUGGAUCGGAGUGAAAGGCUAAUCAAGCUCGGAGAUAGCUGGUUCUCCUCGAAAGCUAUUUAGGUAGCGCCUCAUGUAUCACUGUAGGGGGUAGAGCACUGUUUCGGCUAGGGGGUCAUCCCGACUUACCAAACCGAUGCAAACUCCGAAUACCUACAAGUGCCGAGCAUGGGAGACACACGGCGGGUGCUAACGUCCGUCGUGAAAAGGGAAACAACCCAGACCGUCAGCUAAGGUCCCAAAGUUAUGGUUAAGUGGGAAACGAUGUGGGAAGGCUUAGACAGCUAGGAGGUUGGCUUAGAAGCAGCCACCCUUUAAAGAAAGCGUAAUAGCUCACUAGUCGAGUCGGCCUGCGCGGAAGAUUUAACGGGGCUCAAACCAUACACCGAAGCUACGGGUAUCACUUAGGUGAUGCGGUAGAGGAGCGUUCUGUAAGCCUGUGAAGGUGAGUUGAGAAGCUUGCUGGAGGUAUCAGAAGUGCGAAUGCUGACAUGAGUAACGAUAAUGGGUGUGAAAAACACCCACGCCGAAAGACCAAGGUUUCCUGCGCAACGUUAAUCGACGCAGGGUUAGUCGGUCCCUAAGGCGAGGCUGAAAAGCGUAGUCGAUGGAAAACAGGUUAAUAUUCCUGUACUUCUGGUUAUUGCGAUGGAGGGACGGAGAAGGCUAGGCCAGCUUGGCGUUGGUUGUCCAAGUUUAAGGUGGUAGGCUGAGAUCUUAGGUAAAUCCGGGAUCUUAAGGCCGAGAGCUGAUGACGAGUGUUCUUUUAGAACACGAAGUGGUUGAUGCCAUGCUUCCAAGAAAAGCUUCUAAGCUUCAGGUAACCAGGAACCGUACCCCAAACCGACACAGGUGGUUGGGUAGAGAAUACCAAGGCGCUUGAGAGAACUCGGGUGAAGGAACUAGGCAAAAUGGCACCGUAACUUCGGGAGAAGGUGCGCCGGUGAGGGUGAAGCAUUUACUGCGUAAGCCCAUGCCGGUCGAAGAUACCAGGCCGCUGCGACUGUUUAUUAAAAACACAGCACUCUGCAAACACGAAAGUGGACGUAUAGGGUGUGACGCCUGCCCGGUGCCGGAAGGUUAAUUGAUGGGGUUAGCUAACGCGAAGCUCUUGAUCGAAGCCCCGGUAAACGGCGGCCGUAACUAUAACGGUCCUAAGGUAGCGAAAUUCCUUGUCGGGUAAGUUCCGACCUGCACGAAUGGCGUAACGAUGGCGGCGCUGUCUCCACCCGAGACUCAGUGAAAUUGAAAUCGCUGUGAAGAUGCAGUGUAUCCGCGGCUAGACGGAAAGACCCCGUGAACCUUUACUAUAGCUUUGCACUGGACUUUGAAUUUGCUUGUGUAGGAUAGGUGGGAGGCUUUGAAGCGUGGACGCCAGUUCGCGUGGAGCCAACCUUGAAAUACCACCCUGGCAACUUUGAGGUUCUAACUCAGGUCCGUUAUCCGGAUCGAGGACAGUGUAUGGUGGGUAGUUUGACUGGGGCGGUCUCCUCCUAAAGAGUAACGGAGGAGUACGAAGGUGCGCUCAGACCGGUCGGAAAUCGGUCGUAGAGUAUAAAGGCAAAAGCGCGCUUGACUGCGAGACAGACACGUCGAGCAGGUACGAAAGUAGGUCUUAGUGAUCCGGUGGUUCUGUAUGGAAGGGCCAUCGCUCAACGGAUAAAAGGUACUCCGGGGAUAACAGGCUGAUACCGCCCAAGAGUUCAUAUCGACGGCGGUGUUUGGCACCUCGAUGUCGGCUCAUCACAUCCUGGGGCUGAAGCCGGUCCCAAGGGUAUGGCUGUUCGCCAUUUAAAGUGGUACGCGAGCUGGGUUUAGAACGUCGUG